AGCGCAGACGGCGAAGCAAGUCUGAAGUGAAAUGCAUGGGCUCAACCCAUGAAUUGCUUUGGAAACUGUUUGGCUUGAGUGUCGGAGGGGUAAGCGGAAUUCCUAGUGUAGCGGUGAAAUGCGUAGAUACUAGGAGGAACACCGGAGGCGAAGGCGGCUUACUGGACGACAACUGACGUUGAGGCUCGAAGGCGUGGGGAGCAAACA
RNAcentral lists this ribosomal RNA (207 nucleotides) under uncultured bacterium. RNAcentral's name for it is "partial 16S ribosomal RNA". It matches the Rfam family "Bacterial small subunit ribosomal RNA", at positions 568 to 774 of the family's 1533-position model. The record is from RNAcentral.